Molecule: long non-coding RNA, 365 nt
Filed under: Saimiri boliviensis boliviensis (Bolivian squirrel monkey)
Lineage: Eukaryota; Metazoa; Chordata; Mammalia; Primates; Cebidae
Description: lncRNA (ENSSBOG00000036450.1)
Source: RNAcentral
AAGUUUCUGAAAAUUCUCUGAUAACAUUGGCAGAAAAUUGCUGUGAAUGUGUCAGUCCAAUGUUUCUCUCCUGGAUAACCAGGAAAAAUGAGAGGCUUAGCUGGACCUGAGGGGGAAACUACUUCAAUUCCCUGCCCACUGCCCUCCACUGUAGUGUUAUUCAUGGCUAGAUGUGGAUUGGACUUGGGACUCUACUACUGCAGAUUGCCUGAAAUAAAACAUUUUAAGAACUCUGACGUUAUGAGAAAUCAGAUGCCUCUAGCUGUUAGCAAUGGAUGCACAGAAAGAAGUGACUUAACCAAGGUCGUAUCUGAAGAUUCUCUUCAAAAACUUCCUGUGAAAAACAGACAGAUCAUUCAUUUUAA